This is a long non-coding RNA of Zalophus californianus (California sea lion), 491 nucleotides long. RefSeq lists it as uncharacterized. The record is from RefSeq and is a predicted model, not a curated record. NCBI's taxonomy places the organism in Eukaryota, Metazoa, Chordata, Mammalia, Carnivora, Otariidae. The transcript has 3 exons.
GUUCUAUGGAAAUUAGCUGCAUGCCACCAGUCUGAUUUGCUCCUUGGCACCAACGUCUGAUCUCUGGACACUGCUCUGUGCUGGCCACCAGUGAACUCCCCAGGACAGGGUGAGGACAAAUCACACCACAUCUAUAACAACAUCUCAGCCCAGAAAGAGCAGAGCACUGUGUAUAGGAAGGACCCCUCACCAGGGCAGAGGCGAUCUCAGCUUUCCUGGGUAUCUUGUUUGGCUCCAAUCAACAGAUGGGCUCUGAUGAGGACGCUGGGGCCAUCUGCUAUGCCUCACUUACCCACCUGAACCAAUUUGGCUCUGAGGACUCCAUCUAUGUCAACACCCAGCCCAAUCUGAAGCCCAUGCCUGACCCCCUUCUGACUGUAGAAUAUGCCAGCAUUGCUGGAACCAGACCCCAGCCCUCCAAGUUGACUGCCCUGGACAAGGAGCUCAAGAGCUAAAGACAGACUUCACUGGGCAGUGAGCACUUAGCAAAU